This 253-nucleotide ribosomal RNA is filed under the name uncultured Rikenellaceae bacterium. RNAcentral describes it as "partial 16S ribosomal RNA". It matches the Rfam family "Bacterial small subunit ribosomal RNA", at positions 524 to 776 of the family's 1533-position model. The record is from RNAcentral. Lineage: Bacteria; Pseudomonadati; Bacteroidota; Bacteroidia; Bacteroidales; Rikenellaceae.
UACGGAGGAUUCAAGCGUUAUCCGGAUUUAUUGGGUUUAAAGGGUGCGUAGGCGGUCGGAUAAGUUAGAGGUGAAAUCCCGAGGCUCAACUUCGGAAUUGCCUCUGAUACUGUUCGGCUAGAGAGUAGUUGCGGUAGGCGGAAUGUAUGGUGUAGCGGUGAAAUGCGUAGAUAUGUGGAAGAACACCGAUGGCGAAGGCAGCCUCCUGGGACGCAACUGACGCUCAUACACGAAAGCGUGGGGAGCAAACAGG